This is a long non-coding RNA of Mytilus californianus (California mussel), 2210 nucleotides long. RefSeq lists it as uncharacterized. The record is from RefSeq and is a predicted model, not a curated record. NCBI's taxonomy places the organism in Eukaryota, Metazoa, Mollusca, Bivalvia, Mytilida, Mytilidae. The transcript is spliced from 3 exons.
ACGGGGGUUGGCCAAUUCCAUGGUUUCUAGAGAAAAAUAAUGAGGGGUGUCACGGGGUAUGACUAUAUAGGUCUUGUAGAGGAGAAACAGGCGCAUCAUUUGCGCAAGGUAUCGAAGGGCGCUAUGUUCAAAAAUCUGAAACUAGAGCUCAAAAUUUGAAAAAUAAAUUGUUAAAAACAGGGGGGUUGGCCUAUUCCAUGGCUUCUUGAGAAAAAUAAUGAGGGGUGUCACGGGGUAUGACUAUAUAGGUCUUGUAGAGGAGAAACAGGCGCAUCUUUUGCGCAAGGUAUCGAAGGGCGCUAUGUUCAAAAAUCUGAAACUAGAGCUCAAAAUUUAAAAAAAAUUGUUAAAAACAGGAGGAAUGGCCUAUUCCAUGGCUUCUAGAGAAAAAUAAUGAGGGGUGUCACGGGGUAUGACUAUAUAGGUCUUGUAGAGGAGAAACAAGCGCAUCUUUUGCGCAAGGUAACGAAGGGCACUAUGUUCAAAAAUCUGAAACUAGAGCUCAAAAUUUGAAAAAAAUAAUAUUAAAAACAGGGGGUUGGCCUAUUCCAUGGCUUCUAGAGAAAAAUAAUGAAGGAUGUCACGGGGUAUGACUAUAUAGGUCUUGUAGAGGAGAAACAGGCGCAUCUCUUGCGCAAGAUAUCGAAGGGCGCUAUGUUCAAAAAUCUGAAACUAGAGCUCAAAAUUUGAAAAAUAAAUUGUUAAAAACAGGGGGGUUGGCCUAUUCCAUGGCUUCCAAAGAAAAAUAAUGAGGGGUGUCACGGGGUAUGACUAUAUAGGUCUUGUAGAGGAGAAACAGGCGCAUCUUUUGCGCAAGGUAUCGAAGGGCGCUAUGUUCAAAAAUCUGAUACUAGAGCUCAAAAUUUAAAAAAAAUUGUUAAAAACAGGGGGAAUGGCCUAUUCCAUGGCUUCUACAGAAAAAUAAUGAGGGGUGUCACGGGUUAUGACUAUAUAGGUCUUGUAGAGGAGAAACAAGCGCAUCUUUUGCGCAAGGUAACGAAGGGCGCUAUGUUCAAAAAGCUGAAACUAGAGCUCAAAAUUUGAAAAAAAUAAUAUUAAAAACAGGGGGUUGGCCUAUUCCAUGGCUUCUAGAGAAAAAUAAUGAAGGAUGUCACGGGGUAUGACUAUAUAGGUCUUGUAGAGGAGAAACAGGCGCAUCUCUUGCGCAAGAUAUCGAAGGGCGCUAUGUUCAAAAAUCUGAAACUAGAGCUCAAAAUUUGAAAAAAAUUUGUUAAAAACAGGGGGGUUGGCCUAUUCCAUGGUUUCUAGAGAAAAAUAAUGAGGGGUGUCACGGGGUAUGACUAUAUAGGUCUUGAAGAAGAGAAACAGGCGCAUCUUUUGCGCAAGGUAUCGAAGGGCGCUAUGUUCAAAAAUCUGAAACUAGAGCUCAAAAUUUGAAAAAAAAUGUUAAAAACAGGGGGGUUGGCCUAUUCUAUGGCUUCUAGAGAAAAAUAAUGAGGGAUGUCACGGGGUAUGACUAUAUAGGUCUUGUAGAGGAGAAACAGGCGCAUCUCUUGUGCGAGGUAUCGAAGGGCGCUAUGUUCAAAAAUCUGAAACUAGAGCUCAAAAUUUGAAAAAAAAUUGUUAAAAACACGGGGGUUGGCCAAUUCCAUGGUUUCUAGAGAAAAAUAAUGAGGAGUGUCACGGGGUAUGACUAUAUAGGUCUUGUAGAGGAGAAACAAGCGCAUCUUUUGCGCAAGGUAACGAAGGGCGCUAUGUUCAAAAAUCUGAAACUAGAGCUCAAAAUUUGAAAAAAAUAAUAUUAAAAACAGGGGGUUGGCCUAUUCCAUGGCUUCUAGAGAAAAAUAAUGAAGGAUGUCACGGGGUAUGACUAUAUAGGUCUUGUAGAGGAGAAACAGGCGCAUCUCUUGCGCAAGAUAUCGAAGGGCGCUAUGUUCAAAAAUCUGAAACUAGAGCUCAAAAUUUGAAAAAAAAAUUGUUAAAACAGGGGGUUGGCCUUUUCAAUGCUUCUAGGGAAAAAUAAUGAGGGGUGUCACGGGGUAUGACUAUAUAGGUCUUGUAGGAGAGAAACAGGCGCAUCUUUUGCGCAAGGUAUCGAAGGGCGCUAUGUUAAAAAAUCUGAAACUAGAGCUCAAAAUUUGAAAAAAAUUUGUUAAAAACAGGGGGGUUGGCCUAUUCCAUGGUUUCUAGAGAAAAAUAAUGAGGGGUGUCACGGGGUAUGACUAUAUAGGUCUUGUAGAAGAGAAACA